This 74-nucleotide transfer RNA is filed under the name Zingiber officinale. Its description in RNAcentral is "tRNA-Val". The record is from RNAcentral. Lineage: Eukaryota; Viridiplantae; Streptophyta; Magnoliopsida; Zingiberales; Zingiberaceae.
GGCGUCGUGAUGUAGUUGGUUAUCAUAUUAGUCUAACACACUGAAGGUCUCCGGUUUGAAUUCUUGUGAUGCCA